CCUACGGGUGGCAGCAGUGGGGAAUAUUGGACAAUGGGGGCAACCCUGAUGCAGCGACGCCGCGUGAGUGAAGACGGCCUUCGGUUUGUAAACUUCUUUCAGCAGGGAAGAAAAUGACGGUACCUGAGUAAGAAGAGCCGCCGAACUACGUGCCAGCAGCGGCGGUAAUACGUAGGGGGGACGCGUUUUCCGGAUUUACUGGGUGUAAAGGGAGCGUAGACGGGGGUGAAAGUCUGAAGUGAAAGGCGGGGGCUAAACCCCCGAACUGCGCUUGAAACUGUAGGUCUUGAGUGCUGUAGAGGUAGGUGGAAUUCCUGGUGUAGCGGUGAAAUGCGUAGAUAUUAGGAGGAACACCAGUGGCGAAGGCGGCUUGCUGGACUGUAACUGACGGUGAGGCGCGAAAGCGUGGGGAGCAAACAGGAUUAGAUACCCGGGUAGUC
This 440-nucleotide ribosomal RNA is filed under the name uncultured bacterium. RNAcentral describes it as "partial 16S ribosomal RNA". It matches the Rfam family "Bacterial small subunit ribosomal RNA", at positions 338 to 795 of the family's 1533-position model. The record is from RNAcentral.